GAUUAACGCUAGCGGCAGGCCUAAUACAUGCAAGUCGAACGGCAGCACGGGUAGCAAUACCUGGUGGCGAGUGGCGCACGGGUGCGUAACGCGUAUGCAAUCUACCUGUAACUGGGGAAUAGCCUUCCGAAAGGAAGAUUAACACCGCAUAAAAUCACGAAGCGGCAUCGUUUUGUGAUCAAAUCUCCGGAGGUUACAGAUGAGCAUGCGUGACAUUAGCUAGUUGGUGAGGUAACGGCCCACCAAGGCUACGAUGUCUAGGGGGUCUGAGAGGAUGAUCCCCCACACUGGUAC
Molecule: ribosomal RNA, 294 nt
Filed under: uncultured bacterium
Lineage: Bacteria
Description: partial 16S ribosomal RNA
Rfam family: Bacterial small subunit ribosomal RNA
Source: RNAcentral